GACGAACGCUGGCGGCGUGCUUAACACAUGCAAGUCGAACGCUGAAGACCUGGCUUUUGUUGGGUUGGAUGAGUGGCGAACGGGUGAGUAACACGUGAGUAACCUGCCCUCUUCUUUGGGAUAACGCCCGGAAACGGGUGCUAAUACUGGAUAUUCACUGAUCUUCGCAUGGGGGUUGGUGGAAAGGUUUGUUCUGGUGGGGGAUGGGCUCGCGGCCUAUCAGCUUGUUGGUGGGGUGAUGGCCUACCAAGGCUUUGACGGGUAGCCGGGCGGGGAGGGUGACCGGUCAAGUUGGGACUGAGAUACGGCCCAGACUCCUACGGGAGGCAGCAGUGGGGGAUAUUGCACAAUGGGCGAAAGCCUGAUGCAGCGGCGCCGCGUGAGGGAUGGAGGCCUUCGAGUUGGAAACCUCUUUCGCUCAUGGUCAAGCCGCAACUGUGGGUUGUGGUGAGGGUAGUGGGUAAAGAAGCGCCGGCUAACUACGUG
RNAcentral lists this ribosomal RNA (486 nucleotides) under uncultured bacterium. Its description in RNAcentral is "partial 16S ribosomal RNA". It matches the Rfam family "Bacterial small subunit ribosomal RNA", at positions 28 to 507 of the family's 1533-position model. The record is from RNAcentral.